CUCAGCAGCCAUACCAUCUUCAGUUCAGACUAUCUAAUUAAUCUGUAGCUAAACAGGCCUGGGCCUGGCCAGUGCUUGGAUAGGAGACCAACUUGGUAAGCUGGGUUGCUGCUGGAA
This 117-nucleotide ribosomal RNA is filed under the name Paramormyrops kingsleyae. The record is from RNAcentral. Lineage: Eukaryota; Metazoa; Chordata; Actinopteri; Osteoglossiformes; Mormyridae.